UACGUAGGGUGCAAGCGUUAUCCGGAAUUAUUGGGCGUAAAGAGCUCGUAGGCGGUUUGUCGCGUCUGCUGUGAAAACCCGAGGCUCAACCUCGGGCCUGCAGUGGGUACGGGCAAACUAGAGUGCGGUAGGGGAGAUUGGAAUUCCUGGUGUAGCGGUGGAAUGCGCAGAUAUCAGGAGGAACACCGAUGGCGAAGGCAGAUCUCUGGGCCGUAACUGACGCUGAGGAAGCGAAAGCAUGGGGAGCGAAACAGG
RNAcentral lists this ribosomal RNA (255 nucleotides) under uncultured bacterium. Its description in RNAcentral is "partial 16S ribosomal RNA". It matches the Rfam family "Bacterial small subunit ribosomal RNA", at positions 524 to 776 of the family's 1533-position model. The record is from RNAcentral.